Long non-coding RNA from Acanthochromis polyacanthus (spiny chromis), 1022 nucleotides. RefSeq lists it as uncharacterized. The transcript is spliced from 4 exons. The record is from RefSeq and is a predicted model, not a curated record. Lineage: Eukaryota; Metazoa; Chordata; Actinopteri; Pomacentridae.
GCAUGGCGGCAUUCUGGAUGUAGCCACAUUCUUUGUGUCCAGCUGCUGUAAUUGUUGUCAAGGUGUGCCGUCUAAAAUGUGAGGGCUCUGGUCCUUUUUUUGUUGUUGCAUGCAGUGCUUAAAAUCACCGCUCCUUUUAGUGUGGCUGAUUACUGGCCUGGGGGAGGCGAUCAGCUGGAGCCCUGCAGUGUGUGUGAUUGUUGGUCGGCUCCAGGUGUGUGGCCAAGACGUGGAUGGGCUGUAUUUCCAAAGUUUAUAUCCUCGGCUCACCUGCUGCCAACCUCGAGCAGAGUACCAUGUUGGCCCAGCACUGCUGAGUGCAGCCUGGGCCUGUUUGGUGCAGAGGCGGUAUCACCUGUUUGGACUUUGAAGGCUGAGGCCUGGUGACACAGGCUCUUGUAAACUGUUCAACGGAUGUGCUGUGGCUUACUGCAGCAGUUAUUCCCUGGUGGUGGUAUUUUCUUCACGGUCCCCUUCUUUGAUUUUUGCGUGUGUAUGAUUUGCAGUGGUGAUUACUCUGAGGAUUCUUCUCCCCUUUUGGUUGUCCUGCCGCAGGUAUCUGUAGUGCUGCUGGCCCCGCUCCCUUUCAGGAAGAAAACUCUUACUGUGUCUAUGACUGACAGCGUGGAAGAAAAUGACGGAUAAAAUGGCACCUGAUACACUAAUGACUGUCACUUAACUUUCUCUGAGUGAUUAUUAUAUUAACAGUAUAUAGUACCAGUUAGAUAAGUAUGAGUAGAUAAGUCCAUUGCUGUUCGCAAACAGCAAUGGAUAAACAGUUCAAUCAUACAGCUAGCUAGCAAUGAUAGAAUAUAGUAACAGUUAGCUAAAAGCAAAGAGUGAAUAGUUAAAUCACAACAAAAAACAGAUAAACAGGAAAAAGUUGAAGCAGUUAGCUAACAGUAAUUCAUAAAGAGCUAAACCGGUUAAAGUCGUUACCUAACGGUAGACACACGGUUAGCUAAAUAUUAAGAGUGAACAGUUAGCCACCAGUCAUGAAUAAAAAUGACCUAAAGGAUAAA